Molecule: long non-coding RNA, 778 nt
Filed under: Helianthus annuus (common sunflower)
Lineage: Eukaryota; Viridiplantae; Streptophyta; Magnoliopsida; Asterales; Asteraceae
Source: RNAcentral
UUGAAGUUCCCUCCUAAAUCUUUCCAUUCCGUCUUUAUCCCCACUCAUUUGUAGUUCCCUCUUCAUAACCCUAUCAAUUCACCUCCCGUCCUCCCGAGAUGAUAUCCACAACGAACCAUCACCGACAUGAACCAACCAAACCCCCAUCACACCAACGCGAACCAGCAUCACCACCACCGGAUCUCUCUCAUACCACCAUGACACCACCACAGAUGUGUUGUUGAUGGUGUAUAUCAUCCUACGAGGGUUUCAAAUGGUUCUGAUAGAUGAAACACUUGGAAUACAACUUCUGAUGUACCAGUUAUCAUUAAAAUUCAUUAUAAUUUUUGGAAAAAUUGUAUUAGUGUGUUUCUUUGCCAGGUGCUCCGAAGUCUCACACCACUCUCACUUCUAUAGAUCAGGAUUGCUGCUUCUUUUAUGCUCUAUUGGUUUUACCGUACUUUAGCUAUUAUGGGGAAUGAGCUUCAUAGCCAGGGAAUGUUUAACGAGGCACUAGAAAAGUAUUUACGGGUACUGGUAACUGAUGCAAGAAAUGUUAAAGCUCUUUGUAGGAGAGAGGCGAGACAUGUAAAAGUUUAGGGCAACUUGAAGAAAUUUAUGAUAUGAGACCUGGAUAGCAUGGAUAGGCCUAUGCUUUAAAGAAUUUCUAUGUUUGGAUCUUGGUUUGCUUUAAUGCCCCUCAGGUUGGUGAAGAACAUAGGAAUACUUCGCUGCAAUAUGGAUGGCAUUCAUGAAGAAUGGUCGAGUUAUGCGGCGGCAACUAUUAUUUUUAUAUGAC